CCUACGGGAGGCAGCAGUGAGGAAUAUUGGUCAAUGGCCGGAAGGCUGAACCAGCCAAGCCGCGUGAGGGACGAAGGUGCAAAGCAUUGUAAACUUCUUUUGUCAGGGGACAAAAUCAGGCUCGAGAGCCUGACCGAGUGUACUUGAAGAAAAAGCAUCGGCUAACUCCGUGCCAGCAGCCGGGGUAAUACGGAGGAUGCGAGCGUUAUCCGGAUUGAUUGGGUUUAAAGGGUGCGUAGGCGGGCUGUUAAGUCAGCGGUAAAAGCCCGGGGCUCAACCCCGGCGAGCCGUUGAGACUGGCUGUCUUGAGAUGUCGAGAGGUAUGCGGAAUGCGCAGUGUAGCGGUGAAAUGCUUAGAUAUCGCGCAGAACUCCGAUUGCGAAGGCAGCAUACCGGCGGCGAUCUGACGCUGAGGCACGAAAGCGUGGGUAUCGAACAGGAUUAGAUACCCCAGUAGUC
Molecule: ribosomal RNA, 459 nt
Filed under: uncultured bacterium
Lineage: Bacteria
Description: partial 16S ribosomal RNA
Rfam family: Bacterial small subunit ribosomal RNA
Source: RNAcentral